AGCUUUGCACAGUGGUAGUAUCGUAGCCAGUGAGGUUAAUCUAAGGCACAAUAAUUGCUAAUUGGAGUGCAGGUAUACUUUGACAGAUUUCUGGUAUAUAAGCACUGAACUUA
RNAcentral lists this small nuclear RNA (113 nucleotides) under Tupaia belangeri (northern tree shrew). RNAcentral describes it as "U4 spliceosomal RNA (ENSTBEG00000021003.1)". The stretch from base 1 to 66 matches the Rfam family "U4 spliceosomal RNA". Rfam says of the family: U4 small nuclear RNA (U4 snRNA) is a component of the major U2-dependent spliceosome. The structure of U4 snRNA from yeast and human has been reported. Lineage: Eukaryota; Metazoa; Chordata; Mammalia; Scandentia; Tupaiidae. The record is from RNAcentral.